RNAcentral lists this ribosomal RNA (988 nucleotides) under Pleosporales sp. O8i810H. RNAcentral's name for it is "eukaryotic LSU rRNA". The stretch from base 613 to 766 matches the Rfam family "5.8S ribosomal RNA". The record is from RNAcentral. Lineage: Eukaryota; Fungi; Ascomycota; Dothideomycetes; Pleosporales.
GGGAAGGAUCGACCAGCCGGUCGAGUUGAUCCUUCCGCGUAACACUUGCUCGAAGCCUUAGCAGCCCGAAAGGGUGCAGCCCCGACGACUCUAAUCACCAGGAGGGCUGCUUAAAUGCUAGUCUGCGUCCAGCAGGCGACACUAUCAAAUUGCGGGAACACCCUAAAGACCUCACCACCAAGCGCUCGCGGGAAACCGCGGCGUGGCCGAGCUAAUAGCCCUGGGUAUGGUAACAGCGUGAGGUAUGACGCCCCGGUAUCGGGGCUGAAAUGGGCAAUCCGCAGCCAAGUCCUACAGCGCUCCCUCUCGAGCGCCAUGGAUGCUGUUCACAGGCCAAAUGGUAGUGGGUGACUCCCUGUCGGAGUUGCUUAAGAUAUGGUCGGGCCCCUCCAGAAAUGGCGGGGGUAAAGAGUACGCUCCAACCGUUCCGUAGGUGAACCUGCGGAAGGAUCAUUACAAGAAGGGGUGCUGACGGCUCUCUCGGGCGCCGUCAGUCCGCUCUCUACCUUGCCUACUGCACCGUUUGUUGCUUCCUGGCGGCGGCCUCUUGCCGCCAGGAACCCAAUCAAAUCCUGUAUAAGCAUUGAGAAACUGAACAAAACCAAAUCGUACAACUUUCAACAAUGGAUCUCUUGGUUCUGGCAUCGAUGAAGAACGCAGCGAAAUGCGAUAAGUAGUGUGAAUUGCAGAAUUCAGUGAAUCAUCGAAUCUUUGAACGCACAUUGCGCCCCUCGGUAUUCCGUGGGGCAUGCCUGUUCGAGCGUCAUCCAAACCCUCAAGCCCUCCGGUGUUGCCCUGGCUCUGGCCGGGGCUGCGCCAGGCUUGGUGUUGGGCGUCUGUCCCCGCUGCGGCGCGGACUCGCCCCGAAUGCAUUGGCAGCGGCCGCCUGGCUCCUCGCGCAAGCACAGCGCGCAAAGGGGCGAGGGUCGGCGCGCGUUCCAGCAAGCCACAUCACCAGUUUGACCUCGGAUCAGGUAGGGAUACCCGC